Molecule: ribosomal RNA, 254 nt
Filed under: uncultured bacterium
Lineage: Bacteria
Description: partial 16S ribosomal RNA
Rfam family: Bacterial small subunit ribosomal RNA
Source: RNAcentral
UACAGAGGUGGCAAGCGUUGUUCGGAAUUACUGGGCGUAAAGGGCGCGUAGGCGGCCUUCUAAGUCAGACGUGAAAUCCCCCGGCUUAACCUGGAGACGCCACCCGAUACUGCUGUGGCUAGAGUCCAGUAGGGGAGCGUGGAAUUCCUGGUGUAGCGGUGAAAUGCGCAGAUAUCAGGAGGAACACCAGCGGCGAAGGCGGCGCUCUGGGCUGGCACUGACGCUGAGGAGCGAAAGCGUGGGGAGCAAACAGG